Cryptotermes secundus is the source of this 257-nucleotide long non-coding RNA. RefSeq lists it as uncharacterized. The transcript is spliced from 3 exons. The record is from RefSeq and is a predicted model, not a curated record. NCBI's taxonomy places the organism in Eukaryota, Metazoa, Arthropoda, Insecta, Blattodea, Kalotermitidae.
CUGAGUUCUGGAAAGUAGUGGUGUGUGAACAUUACUUUUCCUGGAAUCUCAAUUCAGUUUUCUUCUGCAUCCUGUUCACAGUACGAGUUGUGUCUGAUGAAGAAAUAAAUCGCCAUUGCAAAUGAUGUCAGAUUCACAGCCAGAAGUUGGUAUUUGAUUCGUAGUGAACGGGCUUCUACAUUGUCAGGCGGACUCCGUCUCAUACUUCUAAGCAGACUGUGACACCACCCAUGUGGAGGUGGACACCAUCCUUUCAA